This 301-nucleotide ribosomal RNA is filed under the name uncultured bacterium. RNAcentral describes it as "partial 16S ribosomal RNA". It matches the Rfam family "Bacterial small subunit ribosomal RNA", at positions 509 to 807 of the family's 1533-position model. The record is from RNAcentral.
CAGCCGCCGCGGGAAUACCGAGGGUGCGAGCGUUAAUCGGAUUUACUGGGCGUAAAGCGUGCGUAGGCGGCUUUUUAAGUCGGAUGUGAAAUCCCUGAGCUUAACUUAGGAAUUGCAUUCGAUACUGGGAAGCUAGAGUAUGGGAGAGGAUGGUAGAAUUCCAGGUGUAGCGGUGAAAUGCGUAGAGAUCUGGAGGACUACCGAUGGCGAAGGCAGCCAUCUGGCCUAAUACUGACGCUGAGGUACGAAAGCAUGGGGAGCAAACAGGAUUAGAUACCCCCGUAGUCCCUGUCUCUUAUAC